ACGAAAACUGCAUCUUAAACUUUCCAGUCCGUUCGAAAAGACAAGCUGAUGAAGAAAUAAAGCCUGAUGCAACGAACUAUGGAACUAGUAUUAAAAAUGAAAUGGGCCGGAAUCCGUACCCUUUCAUGGUGACGUUGCUGAAAUACGACGAAACGUCACGGCGAUACAAGUUGGCCUGCGGUGGAUCGUUGAUUAGCGCCACUAAAAUCCUGACCGCUGCCCAUUGCGUCAUCCACGA
Long non-coding RNA from Daphnia pulicaria, 238 nucleotides. RefSeq lists it as uncharacterized. The record is from RefSeq and is a predicted model, not a curated record. The transcript is spliced from 2 exons. Lineage: Eukaryota; Metazoa; Arthropoda; Branchiopoda; Diplostraca; Daphniidae.